CUAUUAAGGGCACUAAUUUUGAUUUACCUCAUGUUAUCCAACAUUCCCCAUUCUAUGAAGGGAUGGAACACAUUGGAGGAGAUAUGUUUGAAAAUGUUCCAAAAGGAGAUGCUAUUUUUAUGAAGUGGAUUCUUCAUGACUGGAGUGACAGUCAGUGCGUGAAG
Solanum tuberosum (potato) is the source of this 164-nucleotide long non-coding RNA. RefSeq lists it as uncharacterized. NCBI's taxonomy places the organism in Eukaryota, Viridiplantae, Streptophyta, Magnoliopsida, Solanales, Solanaceae. The transcript has 3 exons. The record is from RefSeq and is a predicted model, not a curated record.